This 253-nucleotide ribosomal RNA is filed under the name uncultured bacterium. Its description in RNAcentral is "partial 16S ribosomal RNA". It matches the Rfam family "Bacterial small subunit ribosomal RNA", at positions 524 to 776 of the family's 1533-position model. The record is from RNAcentral.
UACGUAGGGUGCAGGCGUUAAUCGGAAUUACUGGGCGUAAAGCGCACGUAGGCGGCUUGGUAUGUCGGGUGUGAAAUCCCCGGGCUCAACCUGGGAACUGCAUCCGAAACUGCCUUGCUAGAGUAUGGGAGAGGGAAGUGGAAUUUCCGGUGUAGCGGUGAAAUGCGUAGAUAUCGGAAGGAACAUCAGUGGCGAAGGCGACUUCCUGGACCAAUACUGACGCUCAGGUGCGAAAGCGUGGGGAGCAAACAGG